This 197-nucleotide unclassified non-coding RNA is filed under the name plant metagenome. RNAcentral's name for it is "partial contains small subunit ribosomal RNA, internal transcribed spacer 1, and 5.8S ribosomal RNA". The stretch from base 149 to 197 matches the Rfam family "5.8S ribosomal RNA", at positions 1 to 49 of the family's 154-position model. The record is from RNAcentral.
UUUCCGUAGGUGAACCUGCGGAAGGAUCAUUAACAAGUCCGUUGUGCGUGCAGAAGCAAUUUUGCAUGCGCACAUCCGUUCCAUGCACAUUCAUUUGUGCAUGACAUUUCUGCGAAUCGUCUGAUUGUCACUCGACUAAUACAUAUAUAACUUCUAACAAUGGAUCUCUAGGCUCUUGCAUCGACGAAGAACGCAGC